RNAcentral lists this ribosomal RNA (388 nucleotides) under uncultured bacterium. RNAcentral's name for it is "bacterial SSU rRNA". It matches the Rfam family "Bacterial small subunit ribosomal RNA", at positions 28 to 417 of the family's 1533-position model. The record is from RNAcentral.
GACGAACGCUGGCGGCGUGCUUAACACAUGCAAGUCGAGCGGUAAGGGCUCCUUCGGGAGUACACGAGCGGCGAACGGGUGAGUAACACGUGAGCAAUCUGCCCUUCACAUCGGGAUAACCUCGGGAAACCGAAGCUAAUACCGGAUACGACCAUCGGUGGCAUCAUCUGAUGGUGGAAAGUUCCGGCGGUGAAGGAUGAGCUCGCGGCCUAUCAGCUUGUUGGUGGGGAAUGGCCUACCAAGGCGACGACGGGUAGCCGGCCUGAGAGGGUGACCGGCCACACUGGGACUGAGACACGGCCCAGACUCCUACGGGAGGCAGCAGUGGGGAAUAUUGGACAAUGGGCGAAAGCCUGAUCCAGCAACGCCGCGUGAGGGAUGACGGCCU